UAAUUUGAGAGUUUGAUCCUGGCUCAGGACGAACGCUGGCGGCGUGCCUAACACAUGCAAGUCGAGCGGAGGAUUUAAGAUGUUUACAUUGAGAAUCCUUAGCGGCGGACGGGUGAGUAACACGUGGGUAACCUGCCUCAAAGUGGGGGAUAGCCUUUCGAAAGGAAGAUU
This 171-nucleotide ribosomal RNA is filed under the name Proteiniclasticum sediminis. RNAcentral describes it as "Bacterial small subunit ribosomal RNA". It matches the Rfam family "Bacterial small subunit ribosomal RNA", at positions 1 to 164 of the family's 1533-position model. The record is from Rfam by way of RNAcentral. Lineage: Bacteria; Bacillati; Bacillota; Clostridia; Eubacteriales; Clostridiaceae.